GGGGGUAUAGCUCAAGCAGAGCAUAUGCUUAGUAUGCACAAGGUCCUGGGUUCAAUCCCUGGUACCUUCU
This 70-nucleotide transfer RNA is filed under the name Camelus ferus (Wild Bactrian camel). It matches the Rfam family "tRNA". From Rfam's summary of the family: Transfer RNA (tRNA) molecules are approximately 80 nucleotides in length. Their secondary structure includes four short double-helical elements and three loops (D, anti-codon, and T loops). Further hydrogen bonds mediate the characteristic L-shaped molecular structure. tRNAs have two regions of fundamental functional importance: the anti-codon, which is responsible for specific mRNA codon recognition, and the 3' end, to which the tRNAs corresponding amino acid is attached (by aminoacyl-tRNA synthetases). tRNAs cope with the degeneracy of the genetic code in two manners: having more than one tRNA (with a specific anti-codon) for a particular amino acid; and 'wobble' base-pairing, i.e. permitting non-standard base-pairing at the 3rd anti-codon position. Lineage: Eukaryota; Metazoa; Chordata; Mammalia; Artiodactyla; Camelidae. The record is from Rfam by way of RNAcentral.